GGCUGGAAAAUGACGAGACUUUUGCCGUUCACCUUUUUUCUGAUUUUUGCCAAUUCUCCAGGCUGGGCAAGAGAAAGACAUUAUUACAUUGGCAUUAGGGAAUGGACAUGGAACUAUGCUCCAACUGGUAAAAACAUAAUCAAUAGAAAAUUAAUUUCAGAAGAUAAUGAAUUUCGUUCGUAUAUCUAUCUAGAAAGAGGCCCUCAGAGGAUAGGUCGAAUAUAUAAGAAAGCCAUGUAUGUUCAGUACACGGAUGAAAGUUAUCAAAGGUGUGUGGAAAAGCCAUCCUGGCUGGGAUUUUUGGGUCCUAUUCUGAAGGGAGAGGUUGGAGAUGUAAUCGUUGUGCAUAUGAAAAACUUUGCCUCAAGACGCUACACUAUGCAUCCCCACGGAGCGACUUAUACUAAGGAAAAUGAAGGUGCUCUGUAUCCUGACAAUACCUAUGGGCCACAGAAGAAAGACGAUGGAGUGUCACCUGGACAGAACUGCACUUACAGGUGGUCCAUAACACCAGAGCAAGGGCCUGCAGAUGGGGACCAUAAUUGUGUCACCAGAAUUUACCACUCACACUUCGAUACUGCGAAGGAUGUAGCCUCUGGGCUCGUGGGACCCCUGAUAACUUGUAGGAAAGGGAGCCUGAAUGGAGACACUGAAAAAAAUACUGAUCGCUCAUUUGUUGUAUUGUUUUAUGCAGUAGAUGAAAACAAGAGUUGGUAUCUGGAUGAAAACAUCCAUACCUAUUGUUAUGAACCUGACAAGGUUAAUAAAACUGAUCCAGGCUUCAAGGAGAGCAACAAAAUGUAUUCAAUGAAUGGAUUCAUGUUUGGAAACAUGCCAAACAUCACCAUGUGUGUGGAAGACAGAGUGCAUUGGCAUUUUUUUGGAAUAGGUGGUCUGGAUGAUACACAUUCUAUCUUUCUUCAUGGACAGACUUUGCUCUACCUGCGUCACAGAAUGGAUACUUUCAGGAUUUUUGCCGCUUCAAUGCUUGAUGCCCGCAUGGUGGCAAAAAGUGUUGGGGAAUGGUUACUCAGCUGUCAAGUUAACAAGCACGCGAAUGCUGGCAUGAAGGCCUAUUUCAAGAUAAAUGAUUGUGGAAAGCGCUCACAAGAUAAUGUUAAUGGGACAAGUGUUAAGAACUACUACAUUGCUGCUGAAGAAGUGAUUUGGAAUUAUGCGCCAUCUGGCAUUAACUAUUAUACCAACAAAAGCUUAACAGCUCCUGGGAGUGAAUCAGCACCUUAUUUUAUUCGAGGUCCCAACAGAAUUGGAGGAACUUAUGUGAAGUUGCAAUACCGAGCAUAUACAGAUGAUUCAUUCCUAACAAAGAAAGCAAGACUUCCUGAAGAAAGACAUCUUGGAAUUAUGGGCCCUGUCAUUAAAACAGAAGUGGGAGACACCAUCUUGGUCACUAUCCUCAACAGAGCUAGCUAUCCCGUCAGCAUUCAGCCUCACUGCGUGAGGUUCUCCAAGAGCAAUGAAGGAUCACGCUACAUGACCCUCAGUGGAAGUACACCUCCACCUUCUUCAAGUAUACAACCCGGGGAAAAUUUUACCUAUGAAUGGACUGUUCCAGAAACUGUGGGUCCGACUUCUGCCGAUCCAGUUUGCUUGACCUGCCUAUACUACUCUGCCUUGGACAUGGUUAAAGAAGUCACCAGUGGGCUGACUGGGCCACUUCUAGUGUGUAGGAAAGGAAGUCUUCAUGCAGAUGGUAGACUGAAAGGUGUAGACAGGGAAUUCUACCUGCUACCUACAAUAUAUGAUGAGAACCUAAGCCUGUACUUGGAUGAAAAUAUUAGAAAAUUUGCAGGAAACCCCCGCCAAGUGAAUAAGGAUGAUCCAGACUUCCAAGCAUCUAACAAAAUGUCCUCCAUAAAUGGAUACAUGUUCGGAAAUCUACCAGGACUUGAUAUGUGCCUAGGUGACAAGAUUUCAUGGCAUGUCCUCAGUGUGGGGACAGAGGAAGAUAUGCAUGGGAUAUAUUUUUCAGGAAACACUUAUGUCUCUUUAGGAGGGAGGAAAGACACUGUAAAUGUGAUUCCACAAACUUCCUGGACUCUUUUUAUGACAGCAGAUUCCUCAGGGGAAUUUGAUGUCGCUUGUCUCGCAACAGACCACUAUACAGGUGGCAUGAAAAAUAAAUACCGAGUGAAACAAUGCAACAAGCCUUUUAAGGACAACACACAUUAUAAGAACAAGGUUUACUACAUUGCAGCUGUGGAAGUUGAAUGGGAUUAUGCUCCCAGUAAGAAGUGGGAAAAGGAACUGCAUUACUUACAAGGAAAAAAUAAGACAGAUAUAUAUUUGGAUAAAGUCUAUGGUUGGUAUCUUGGUUCCAAAUACAAGAAAGUUAUUUACAUUCAGUUCACUGAUAGCUCCUUCAAGACUCCAAAACCAAGAACGGAGGAAGAUAAACAUCUGGAUAUCCUAGGCCCACUAAUUCAGGUAAACGUCUGGGAUACAGUUACAGUUGUCUUUAAAAACACAGCCAACAGGUCUUAUUCUAUACAUGCUCACGGAGUGAAAACAGAUUAUUCCACUGUUAUUCCAACAAAACCAGGGGAAAUAAGAACAUAUAAGUGGAAAAUCCCUGAAAGAUCUGGACCUACCCAAAAUGACUCUGUUUGCAUACCCUGGGUUUACUACUCAACUGUGAAUCCAGUUAAGGAUUUCUACAGUGGAUUAAUUGGACCUUUGAUAGUAUGUCGCCAAAACACCACCACCAACUCUGCUGCUAGCCAUAUUCUUAACCUAGUUCUUUCUUUUAUUAUUUUUAAUGAGAAUAAAUCCUGGUACUUCGAUGAAAACAUCAAAAAGUAUUCUCCACAUCCAGAGGAAGUGGAUAAAGAAGAUCCAGAAUUUAUUUUAAGCAACCAAAUGCAUGCAAUUAAUGGAAGACUUUAUGGAAACAACCAAGGUCUGGUUAUGCAUGUUGGAGAUACAGUGAACUGGUAUUUGAUUGGCUUGGGGAGUAGUGUAGAUGUCCACACUGCUCACUUCCAUGGCCACAGCUUCAAAUAUAAGGGCGCUGGAUUUUUUCGCUCAGAUGUUUACGACCUUGUUCCUGGAACAUUCAAAACUCUUCAAAUGUAUCCAAAAGAUGCCGGGACUUGGUUAUUCCACUGUCAUCUUGGUGAACACCUUGGUGCUGGAAUGGAAAGCACCUACACUGUUUUACCGAGAGAAGGUAAAGGUGAUUAAGGGGCUUGAUGAAUGUUCUUGUGACCACGGCGGCUUAAUGUAUCUAUAGAAGCACAAAAGACUUCAUGAAGAGAUUUUGAUGAGCCUACAUCAAUGUUACUAGCAUAGAAGAAAACUGAAAACUCAAGCCUGCAAAGGAAUGUUGGAGGAGUUAAAUUAAAUUGUGAAUGUAAU
RNA transcript from Vombatus ursinus (common wombat), 3378 nucleotides. It is a transcript of the gene named ceruloplasmin-like, with no coding region annotated. The transcript is spliced from 19 exons. The record is from RefSeq and is a predicted model, not a curated record. Lineage: Eukaryota; Metazoa; Chordata; Mammalia; Diprotodontia; Vombatidae.